CCGUCAAACUGCUGUGAAAAUCUGCCAUCUGUAGAGAGUUUUGAAAGUAGAGCUGUGGACAUGACAUUGUUGAUGUUCAAGGAUUUCAGAGGGAAAGUGCCAGCAUGAAAAGGUAUAAAAUCAUAAAGCUUUCGACUCCUGAAAUGGCUUGUGGAAGUUAAAAAUGCUGUGUAAGCUGAGUGUCUGCAAGCAAAGUACCUUCUGUCUGCUCUUCUCUGAGAAGCACAAAAGCUGAAGACAAUGGAGGGAAAUUGAAGAGAGAAGGAGGCCAUGAAAACCUUUAUGUGGAAUGGAGGUGGUGUUUUGCCAAGACUAGGAACAAACCAGAAUGUUGAAGCAAUGCU
This 344-nucleotide long non-coding RNA is filed under the name Parus major (Great Tit). RNAcentral's name for it is "lncRNA (ENSPMJG00000015816.1)". Lineage: Eukaryota; Metazoa; Chordata; Aves; Passeriformes; Paridae. The record is from RNAcentral.